UGGGGAAUUUUGGACAAUGGGCGCAAGCCUGACCCAGCCAUGCCGCGUGAGUGACGAAGGCCUUAGGGUUGUAAAGCUCUUUUGGCGGGGACGAUAAUGACGGUACCCGCAGAAUAAGCCCCGGCUAACUUCGUGCCAGCAGCCGCGGUAAUACGAAGGGGGCUAGCGUUGUUCGGAAUCACUGGGCGUAAAGCGCACGUAGGCGGACUUUCAAGUCAGGGGUGAAAUCCCGGGGCUCAACCUCGGAACUGCCUUUGAUACUGUUGGUCUCGAGUCCGGAAGAGGUGGGUGGAAUUCCUAGUGUAGAGGUGAAAUUCGUAGAUAUUAGGAAGAACACCGGUGGCGAAGGCGGCCCACUGGUCCGGUACUGACGCUGAGGUGCGAAAGCGUGGGGAGCAAACA
This 402-nucleotide ribosomal RNA is filed under the name uncultured bacterium. Its description in RNAcentral is "bacterial SSU rRNA". It matches the Rfam family "Bacterial small subunit ribosomal RNA", at positions 355 to 774 of the family's 1533-position model. The record is from RNAcentral.